AUUGAACGCUGGCGGCAUGCCUUACACAUGCAAGUCGAACGGUAACGGGCCUUCGGGUGCCGACGAGUGGCGAACGGGUGAGUAAUACAUCGGAACGUGCCCGAUCGUGGGGGAUAACGAGGCGAAAGCUUUGCUAAUACCGCAUACGAUCUACGGAUGAAAGCAGGGGACCGCAAGGCCUUGCGCGGACGGAGCGGCCGAUGGCAGAUUAGGUAGUUGGUGGGAUAAAAGCUUACCAAGCCGACGAUCUGUAGCUGGUCUGAGAGGAUGAUCAGCCACACUGGGACUGAGACACGGCCCAGACUCCUACGGGAGGCAGCAGUGGGGAAUUUUGGACAAUGGGCGCAAGCCUGAUCCAGCCAUGCCGCGUGCAGGAUGAAGGCCUUCGGGUUGUAAAGUGCUUUUGUACGGAACGAAAAGCCUUCUUUUAAUACAGGAGGGUCAUGACGGUACCGUAAGAAUAAGCACCGGCUAACUACGUG
This 482-nucleotide ribosomal RNA is filed under the name uncultured bacterium. Its description in RNAcentral is "partial 16S ribosomal RNA". It matches the Rfam family "Bacterial small subunit ribosomal RNA", at positions 30 to 507 of the family's 1533-position model. The record is from RNAcentral.